GCGGCCUCCACCGCUCGUGCUCUUGUUCACUGUGUAACAGCUCUGUUGAGAUGGAUUCACUCCCCACACGGUUCACCCGUGAACGUGCACAGUUCCGUGUGUCUAUUCACAGUUACAGAGCAUUCAUCCUUCAGGAAGAACCUCAUCCCCAUCCGCACUCAUUCCCAUCCCCACUUCCCCUGGCGACGGCUGGGCCCCUCCCUGUCUCAGGGGCUGCCUGUUCUGGACGUUUCCAGGAAACGGAGCCAUGCAUUGUGCGGCCGCUGUGGCGGUGACACCCACGGGCAUCCCGUUUCCCGCUCCUCGGGGCCUCGUGCGCAGAGCUUCACCCCUUCCACCGCGGCGUAACGUGCAUUGCGCAAAGACCAAAUGGGAAGGUGCAGAGAGGAAGUCCCUGGAGGACCUGGCCAGGUGGCGGAAGGAGGUGACCGCACACCUGCGAGGGGUGCGGGAGAAGGUGGAUGGCCUCCCCCAGCAGAUAGAGAGUGUCUCUGACAAGUGCCUGCUUCAUAAGAGCGACUCAGAUGUCAGGAUUUCCGCCGAAGGCAAGGCCAGG
This 556-nucleotide long non-coding RNA is filed under the name Pan troglodytes (chimpanzee). RNAcentral's name for it is "long non-coding RNA NONPTRT006159". The record is from RNAcentral. Lineage: Eukaryota; Metazoa; Chordata; Mammalia; Primates; Hominidae.